This is a long non-coding RNA of Oncorhynchus gorbuscha (pink salmon), 1433 nucleotides long. RefSeq lists it as uncharacterized. The record is from RefSeq and is a predicted model, not a curated record. Lineage: Eukaryota; Metazoa; Chordata; Actinopteri; Salmoniformes; Salmonidae. The transcript is spliced from 4 exons.
CUGCCGAUACGCGUUACUCCGAAUCCACAGUUUUCACGGGAACAGGUGUGUUGUGGCUAACGCUGAGGUAGCUAAAGCAACAGAACAAAGAAACUAGAGAGGAGCACUGGAACAGGUGUGAGCUCCACAGCCAUAGAGGUGUGUCGUGGCUAACGCUGAGGUAGCUAAAGCAACAGAACAAAGAAACUAGAGAGGAGCACUGGAACAGGUGUGAGCUCCACAGCCAUAGAGGUGUGUUGUGGCUAACGCUGAGGUAGCUAAAGCAACAGAACAAAGAAACUAGAGAGGAGCACUGGAACAGGUGUGAGCUCCACAGCCAUAGAGGUGUGUCGUGGCUAACGCUGAGGUAGCUAAAGCAACAGAACAAAGAAACUAGAGAGGAGCACUGGAACAGGUGUGAGCUCCACAGCCAUAGAGGUGUGUCGUGGCUAACGCUGAGGUAGCUAAAGCAACAGAACAAAGAAACUAGAGAGGAGCACUGGAACAGGUGUGAGCUCCACAGCCAUAGAGGUGUGUCGUGGCUAACGCUGAGGUAGCUAAAGCAACAGAACAAAGAAACUAGAGAGGAGCACUGGAACAGGUGUGAGCUCCACAGCCAUAGAGGUGUGUCGUGGCUAACGCUGAGGUAGCUAAAGCAACAGAACAAAGAAACUAGAGAGGAGCACUGGAACAGGUGUGAGCUCCACAGCCAGGUGUGUCGUGGCUAACGCUGAGGUAGCUAAAGCAACAGAACAAAGAAACUAGAGAGGAGCACUGGAACAGGUGUGAGCUUCACAGCCAUAGAGGUGUGUCGUGGCUAACGCUGAGGUAGCUAAAGCAACAGAACAAAGAAACUAGAGAGGAGCACUGGAACAGGUGUGAGCACCACAGCCAUAGAGGUGUGUUGUGGCUAACGCUGAGGUAGCUAAAGCAACAGAACAAAGAAACUAGAGAGGAGCACUGGAACAGGUGUGAGCUCCACAGCCAUAGAGGUGUGUCGUGGCUAACGCUGAGGUCGCUAAAGCAACAGAACAAAGAAACUAGAGAGGAGCACUGGAACAGGUGUGAGCUCCACAGCCAUAGAGGUGUGUCGUGGUUAACGCUGAGGUAGCUAAAGCAACAGAACAAAGAAAUUAGAGAGGAGCACUGGAACAGGUGUGAGCUCCACAGCCAUAGAGGUGUGUUGUGGCUAACGCUGAGGUAGCUAAAGCAACAGAACAAAGAAACUAGAGAGGAGCACUGGAACAACACAGACCUGACCCUUUAUGAAGCAACAUAGAAAAUGAACAUUCAUCAGAGUCCCAUUGAGUAUUGCAGUUUCCAUAGCAACAGGGACAGAGUGAUGGAGAGUGGGCGAGAUUGAUGGGGAGUGUGUAAAGGAGUAGGUGAGGUAGGAGUCAAAACAAUGUGUGUGUGGGUGUGUACAUGUAUGUGUGUGUGUGUGUGUGUGUGAG